Molecule: long non-coding RNA, 342 nt
Organism: Oncorhynchus tshawytscha (Chinook salmon)
Lineage: Eukaryota; Metazoa; Chordata; Actinopteri; Salmoniformes; Salmonidae
Exons: 2
Source: RefSeq, a predicted model, not a curated record
AUCAGGGUGGGGAGGUGGCUGAGCUGAAGCAUAAAGUACAUUUGUUCUUUUGUACAGGAUCCAUUUUGAGACGACAGAGCAGAAAACACUACAUGGACAGACCUGAAAAAUAAAGGGUCAGUGCUCUAAAAUUAGUAUCUCUGGAGAGAGAGGAGGGGGGCCCUGCCUCUAAAAUGAGUCUCUCUGGAGAGAGAGGGGAGGGGGCCCUGCCUCUAAAAUGAGUCUCUCUGGGGGACAUGACACCACAUCUAAGAGGUAAGAUGACAAUUUUAUGAAGAAUUUAUUAUGUUUAUUUCCAAAAUAAAUAGCUAUCUUAAGAUGAAUGCACUUACUGUAAAUCAC